CUGGAAUCCAGUAGGGGACCAACCAGUAAAGCAUUGUACCAAUUAUGGGCUGAAUCAUUCUGAAUUUGUGAACUCACCUUAAGGAGUUCUCCUUUUAGGAUAUGUGUGGCUACCUGUGUAUGUUAUCUUUGGGAAAAAUAUAGUCCCCUGUGUAUGUGGGUGCCCACCAGGUUAAAUUCUUGGCAAAAAGAUCAUAAACUGGUACUGGUAAUGUGUUAAAUUGACAAGCUAAUUUAACAUCCUUUGAUGAUGUAUGAUAUAAUGUAAAAUAACAUGAGCAUGAAAAAUGUGAAACAUUACCAGUUAACCAUCCAUUGCAUUUACUGGAUUGGGGUUUUAGAAGUAACCAUUCAUUAUCUGUGAGGUUACACAUUCCUCUAAUCUUCUCUAGUUUAGGAAUCGUUAGUGUGUUUUCUAAUGCCAAUCCUUGUUGUUGUAUCCAUAAAUACCUGAUGGCACAAGUACUCUAGUUAGCGAGAUCUGUGGUGAAUUUCAUAGUUGCAACAGUUAAAUUAUCUAAAUAAUUAUACAUUGAUUUAUCUAAAUCCAAUCCUAUAACCUGUGAUUUAACAACAAUUGGAGCCCAGUUUGCAGUAGCAUGGAAACCAGUCCCUAUAUGCAUGCUGGCUGUGUUUAACUUAUUCUUGAGGGUCUCCAUAUCUAUAACUAUUUAGUAUACCCAUAGUGGUUCCAGCACCUCCUAACAGUGUGUCAUACCAUUCCCUUUUCUGCCUUUGUUUGUUGUAUUACAUAAUGUUACAACAAGAGUAGUGACUUUUAAUGACACAUGUACAGCUUGUAAGAAGGCAGUUGUAUUAACACAUGUGGACGGAAUAGGUGUGUGUGUGUCGUGGUUGACUUUUGGUUCUAUGAUAGUGGAUGAAGGACAGUAAUAAGGUGUAAAAAUAUAAGGUAGUGUAUAGUUCUCAAUUGCAGUGUCGUUCAUAAUGACUAACAUUUGUCCCCUUCUCCAAUUAAUGAUACCAGUUAUAUAAUCAUUAUUAAAAGUAAUAAGGCCUGUCUGUUUACAUUGAUAUGCAACCUUAACUGUGCACAUUUCUGCGUUAUAAGAUCUAACAAUUUUCUGUGAACCUUUAAACAAACAUAAUGCAUCGGUUUCAUUAGCUGUAGACACAUUUCAUAUGGGUAACUGGUACUUAUAAGGGUUACUAUUUGUCCAAUUCAUCCAGAUGCGUUCAGUGAAUGAAUGAUUGCAUAUUGCAUGCUGAUAGAAAGGUGGUGGAGAAAGGUUCUUGAGGGGGCGUGUGUGACGAAUGCUAGAUGAGGGGCUAAGGCCUAAUUGGGCUGGGGGUAUUGAAGAAUUGUUCAUCAUGUCAGAGUCUUUUUCCAGAACUUGCCAUUGACUUGUACUCAUAAUGGCAUUCAAGGAACAAUAUCAGAGGGAGUAUAACAACUCCAGAAAGCAUAGCGCACAACAUAAUCUUGGUCUCAGGUACGUAUGAUCCUCUCAAUCUACGAUAUGGUGUAAAAGCCAUGAUGCUUCGCUGAGGAGAAAUUCUUCUGUUUCCGAGCGAGGAGUGGUGUUGUCUUCCUUGGUUCCCCUCUUUGGACACAGCUUCACUCGGGAUGCGUGAAUCCAGAUGUCAUGGGAAUCUGUGAGGACAGCGGUUCUGGUUACAGCAAUCACAGUAGCAGGUGGUCCAAAAGGGUAUCCUCCUUUCUUGGUCCUGUUCAGCUGACGGAUAUACACCUUGUCACCGGGCUGGUAUGAAUGAGUAGGUUCCUGUGAAGGUAAGGGAAAACUGCGAAGAAACAUUGUCAUACAUACCAUUCGGUUUUAUCAACAAUUCAUCUUGUGGGGAUAUAUUCUUAUCUCAGCUAAAAUAGCUGGUAGAUAUCUAGUCCAAUUUUCCCAUGUUCCUGGGUAAAUUCUGGGCUUUUCCUUAAUAGUCCUAUUCAUCCUUUCAACUACCCCUGUAUUCUGUGGAUGAUAGGGUAUAUGAAACUGCCAGGUAACUUGCAAGAAUUUAGCAAGUUCCUGGGCAACCCCACUUGCAAAAACCGGGCCAUUAUCAGAGCCAAUCUGCAGAGGGCAGCAAUACCGGGGAAUAAUUUCAGUAACAAUAAUCUUCACUAGAAUCUUCCCUAGAUAUCACAAAGGCCUCAUGCCAUCUACUAAACUGAUUAACUAUGACCAGUAAGUAUUGCUGUUUCUUACCAAUUUUGGAUACAUAAAUAAAAUCAAUCUGUAAGUGUGUAAAAAGAGCAGCGUUCACACGAUCUUACAAAAGACUGUACAUGCUGCCUGAGAUUCCUAAUAUAAAAUGAAUUCAUGAAGAAUUGAAUGGUGCUUGCUAUGUGCCUGACUGAUGAAAAUAAAUCAGCUUGCUUCAAGUAUGCCUAUUCUUCAAGUAUGCCUAUUCUCCCCUCUUUAGAGAACAGAUCAUUUUGAUCUUUCUCUAAACCUUGUUUAAUCCAAAAGACAGAUUCUGGGUAUUUAAAAAAGAAUCUCAUAACCACUGAAGCGCUGGGCUGUCAUGUGUUGUGUGGUGAGAUUUGUCAUCAGCUGAGUGACCUGGUGACUGGCAUGAAGUAUUGUAGGAUGCCCUAGUGUGAUAGUAGUAGCACUUUUAACAGCCAUUGCACAUGCUAUCAAUGCUCUGAGACACGCCGGCAUACCCUGUACCGGAGCUCGAACUACUUUGGAAAAGAAUGCUAUGGGACGCAUACCGCCUCCUUGCUCUUGUGCACAGACUCUGGCCAUGGUUUUACAAUUGUCCCAAGCAUACAAAUGAAAUGGUUUACAAUACACAGGUAGUCCUAAAGCCUGGGCUUGCACAAUAACAACUGUAAGGGCAAUAUAUGCAGCUAGCAUGUCUGGUGACCAGCAGACAUUUUCAGGGCUGUCAG
Molecule: long non-coding RNA, 2871 nt
Filed under: Pelobates cultripes (western spadefoot toad)
Lineage: Eukaryota; Metazoa; Chordata; Amphibia; Anura; Pelobatidae
Source: RNAcentral